Molecule: ribosomal RNA, 404 nt
Filed under: Bacillota bacterium
Lineage: Bacteria; Bacillati; Bacillota
Also listed under: 1 other name
Description: Firmicutes bacterium partial 16S ribosomal RNA
Rfam family: Bacterial small subunit ribosomal RNA
Source: RNAcentral
UCGGGAAUUUUGGGCAAUGGGCGAAAGCCUGACCCAGCAACGCCGCGUGAAGGAUGAAGUAUUUCGGUAUGUAAACUUCGAAAGAAUGGGAAGAAUCAAUGACGGUACCAUUUAUAAGCUCCGGCUAACUACGUGCCAGCAGCCGCGGUAAUACGUAGGGAGCAAGCGUUGUUCGGAUUUACUGGGCGUAAAGGGCGCGUAGGCGGCCUGUCAAGUCAACUGUGAAAUCUCCGGGCUUAACUCGGAACGGUCAGUUGAUACUGUCAGGCUAGAGUGCAGAAGGGGCAAUCGGAAUUCUUGGUGUAGCGGUGAAAUGCGUAGAUAUCAAGAGGAACACCUGAGGUGAAGACGGGUUGCUGGGCUGACACUGACGCUGAGGCGCGAAAGCCAGGGGAGCAAACGGG